Molecule: long non-coding RNA, 559 nt
Organism: Helianthus annuus (common sunflower)
Lineage: Eukaryota; Viridiplantae; Streptophyta; Magnoliopsida; Asterales; Asteraceae
Exons: 6
Source: RefSeq, a predicted model, not a curated record
CGAUGAUUCAACGUUUCACACGGACACAAGCACCAUGGUUCACCUUCUCUGUAAACGGGUCAUAACAAAAGGGCUAGGCUUUUUAACAUCAUCAUCAGGUUAAUUUAAGUUAACUUUGGAAAAGGAAGAGUUGAUACAGGGCGUUGUCAACCGAAUCAUCACUAAGUUCCAAGAUUUGAACAAGGAACUAACCCAUAAACUCGAAGUUCAAACGCAAAGAUUAGAGCUGUUGAUAAUACUCCUUACGCCGAUGAAGGUGACGAGGUUGUGGAAAGAGUUCUAGGAUGGAUAAUGAAGGACCAUCAAAGCGGCAAACUAAGCAUCUAUGAGUCUAAACGAAAUGAGAAUCUUUUACUAAAAGUUCACAUGUAGUCCAGAUCUCUUUUCACUACCAUUAGAGGUGCAAUUUCAUCUCAUUGGGAAAUUUUGUGCAAAGACAGUGUUUCCAUGUUUAGUUAUGGAUGUGGGAAUGCAAAUAGAAUAUAUUGAGUUGAAGAGGACAUUGUAAAAUCAAUGUUUUUAUGGUUUUUCUUUCUUCAAUUAGAGGAAAAUGUUUUUA